AUGGACUCAAAGACCAGCCUCUCUCAGAAAAGAGCAGUCUCUCUCGAUCUGGAUUCUGGAAUGGCUUGUGAGGCAGAGGAUCAGAACCCUAGAUUCUUCAUUGCCGUUCAUGUCGGCGCGGGGUAUCACGCGCCGUCCAGUGAGAAAGCCCUAAGGUCCGCAAUGAAACGCGCUUGUCUCGCUGCUGCUUCCAUUCUUCGCAAGGGUUCUGGUAGAUGUCUAGAUGCUGUUGCAGCCGCCAUCCAAGUGUUGGAGGAUGAUCCCUCGACAAAUGCUGGCCGAGGCUCUAAUUUGACAGAAGAUGGCAGCGUGGAGUGUGAUGCUAGCAUUAUGGAUGGUGACUCCGGGGCAUUUGGAGCUGUUGGAGCAAUGCCAGGUGCCCUUAAGUCAUUAAUUUUAUCAUGUGAAAUGUGUUUGGAUGGCUGUCUCUUUAGCUUCUUUUGUAUAAAAUUUACUUUUUCAUGAGGUUACUGAAUAUAUAUUUCAUUAGUUGUAGACCAGGUGUCCGAAAUGCCAUCCAAAUUGCUGCCUUGUUGGUCAAGGAGCAAAUGAUUGGUUCUUCUUUGUUGGGUCGAAUACCUCCUAUGUAAUGAUCUUCAUUCUCUACUUUAGCAUGUUUUCCAUGAAUGAUUACACUUUCCUGCUUAUCUAUUAGCACACCUCAUAAUUCAUAAUAUUCAUGCUUCUUUUCCAUCUUCUUCCUCUUCAUUUCCUCUCUCUCCUUUGUGAUGGUUUUCUUAUGGAUCAUAUUGUGUCCCCAAGGUUCUUGGCAGGUGAAGGUGCCUAUCUAUGGGCAAAAUCCAAAGGCAUUGAUUUGCCAGCAUCCAUAGCAGAGGCUAAUAAGUGGCUAGUGACAGAAAGGGCAAAAGCACAGUGGAAGAAGUACAAAGCAAUGCUUGUGAAUGCAACUGCUGAGAUUGACACUUCUGAAGGGAGAAUCGGUUGUAAUUCUCAAGAGACAACAAAAACAUCAGAGUUAGGAGCUCAAUCUGGCAACCCUUUAAAAGGGAAUGCUGGUGGUCAAUUAUAUAUGCCAAGUGCUUUGGAAGAGGACAGUAUCAUGGACACUGUUGGAGUUAUUUGUGUUGACACUGAAGGACAUAUAGCUUCUGGCAGCUCUAGUGGUGGUAUAGCCCUGAAGGCCAGUGGACGUGUGGGGUUGGGUGCAAUGUAUGGUUCAGGUUGUUGGGCUUCUUCAAAAGGCCCCUUUGGGGCUCCAUUUAUCGUUGGUUGCUGUGUAUCUGGCGCAGGAGAAUAUUUAAUGAAAGGAUUUGCAGCUCGAGAGUGCUGCGUUUCAUCAUCAAUGUAUGAUUGGCUUUUCUUGAUAUGCCUUUGUAUAAGAUUCCUUGGCACCAUGACUCCCACCCUGAAAGGGGGGAAAAUAAUCUCACUUAUGCAUAGAAUUCCUAAAUGAGCUGGGUAAGAGCUUGUCGGAGUUGAAUUCAUUUCAGAGUAGUCCUUGGCUAGUUCUAAGAAAAUUUACUCUUUUGAUUAUAAGCCAGUUGAAAAAGACAUGGGCAUCUUUUCUUCCAUAGGACUUUAGAGAUUUGCUUUGAUGCUUUAGUUCGUACAUAAUUUUGUAAUGUAGCUCAAUUUCCUGAUAUUGUGACAAUCUGAAAUUUUUAGUCUGUGAUAUCUCUUAGAUUAACAAGCUAGUUUUAAUGUUUAGUUCUCAGGCUGGUCCAGCCUCUGCCAGCAUUAAAGUUCUACGUUCUGUAAAUGCGGAUAGCAGUCAAAACUUUAGUGAUCAAAGUGCAGGAAUUUUACUUGUGCAAGCUGAUGCUCCUGUGGUGGCAGUAGGAAAUUUGCCACAGCUGAAAGCCAUAGAGAUUGCAGCUUCAUACACUUCCUUGUCUUUUGGGAUAGGAUAUUUUGGGAGCUCUAUGGAACGACCCAAGGUGUCUGUGCUUCGAAAUAAGAAACAGCAAGGCAAAUCUGGAAUAGACCACUUUGAAGCACGAAUUGAUCUUUCUGCCAAAUUUCUGUAACUAGAAUUAUGCGUAGCUGAAUUUGGACGUCCAUUAUGAAAGCAGGAGAAAGUAAGAGCUGAUUUUGGCAUUAUUGAAAUUUGUCCUUUUUACGGAUGUUGGGCAAUCAAUGAACUUGCAAUGGAUAUAUUUCAGAAGUGAAGGGGUGCUUACUGCUCUGGCUGCAUUCUAGGUCCUGUACACUACACCUUUUUUCUUUUUUCAAUUAAGCCCUUGGAUUUUAAUUAGUAAUACUAGGCCGAACUUUUCUCGUCCUUAUUAGAUUGAUGGAAUGAUAAUAAUAAUAAUAAAAAUUGAAGAGUUUAAGACCAAGAGAUUCUCUGCAACAAUGGCGACAAUUUCUAGAGAUUUUUAUAUUUUUAUUUAAUUAUCAGAGGAUAUAAAAAUGGAGUAAGAAAGAGAAGAAGUGGACUGUGUACUGUGGAU
This 2414-nucleotide unclassified non-coding RNA is filed under the name Hevea brasiliensis (rubber tree). Lineage: Eukaryota; Viridiplantae; Streptophyta; Magnoliopsida; Malpighiales; Euphorbiaceae. The record is from RNAcentral.